Unclassified non-coding RNA from Pongo abelii (Sumatran orangutan), 117 nucleotides. It matches the Rfam family "Metazoan signal recognition particle RNA". From Rfam's summary of the family: The signal recognition particle (SRP) is a universally conserved ribonucleoprotein. It is involved in the co-translational targeting of proteins to membranes. The record is from Ensembl. NCBI's taxonomy places the organism in Eukaryota, Metazoa, Chordata, Mammalia, Primates, Hominidae.
GCCAGGCAUGAUGGCUCAUGCCUGUAAUCCCCACACUUUGGGAGGCUGAGGCAGGAGCAUCACUUGAGCCCAGGAGUUCGAGAACAACCUGGGCAACAUAGUGAGACCCUGUCUCUA